RNAcentral lists this ribosomal RNA (497 nucleotides) under uncultured bacterium. RNAcentral's name for it is "partial 16S ribosomal RNA". It matches the Rfam family "Bacterial small subunit ribosomal RNA", at positions 28 to 507 of the family's 1533-position model. The record is from RNAcentral.
GAUGAACGCUGGCGGCGUGCCUAAUACAUGCAAGUCGAGCGAACAGACGAGGAGCUUGCUCCUCUGACGUUAGCGGCGGACGGGUGAGUAACACGUGGAUAACCUACCUAUAAGACUGGGAUCACUUCGGGAAACCGGAGCUAAUACCGGAUAAUAUAUUGAACCGCAUGGUUCAAUAGUGAAAGACGGUUUUGCUGUCACUUAUAGAUGGAUCCGCGCCGCAUUAGCUAGUUGGUAAGGUAACGGCUUACCAAGGCAACGAUGCGUAGCCGACCUGAGAGGGUGAUCGGCCACACUGGAACUGAGACACGGUCCAGACUCCUACGGGAGGCAGCAGUAGGGAAUCUUCCGCAAUGGGCGAAAGCUUGACGGAGCAACGCCGCGUGAGUGAUGAAGGUCUUCGGAUCGUAAAACUCUGUUAUUAGGGAAGAACAAAUGUGUAAGUAAAUAUGCACGUCUUGACGGUACCUAAUCAGAAAGCCACGGCUAACUACGUG